This is a non-coding RNA of Caloranaerobacter azorensis H53214, 157 nucleotides long. NCBI's taxonomy places the organism in Bacteria, Bacillati, Bacillota, Tissierellia, Tissierellales, Thermohalobacteraceae. The record is from Rfam.
UCCAUUGCGAGGUGGAAUCUAAAGGAAGCCGAAGGCAAAAUCCUGGUCAGAUGCACGAAUUACAUUCAAGGCUGUAUAAAUUGGGUGAGUUUGUCAAACAAAACAAAGCCCAAAACGGUCCGUACGGUGGUGUGAGAGAUCGGUAGAUGAAUUAAUC